Pelodiscus sinensis (Chinese soft-shelled turtle) is the source of this 1076-nucleotide non-coding RNA. Lineage: Eukaryota; Metazoa; Chordata; Testudines; Trionychidae. The record is from RefSeq and is a predicted model, not a curated record.
CACAGCUCCAGAAGCUCUGCCUAACAUUACUCCGAAGGGAGCAGUCAAGGUCCAGUGAAAAGCAGCCAGCAGAUCCUUCUGAAAGGCUCGGGGCAUAAAUUCAUCGUCUGCUGAGGCAGCGCUGUUGACAACAAGACAUGCAUCACUUCUUGUGUUCUGCACAACAUUCUUCAGGAGCCAACUCAGCAGCCCAGUGAGAUACAACAGCUGUUUGCCCAGGGGACACAAAUUUAGAUCCCAAGCCACCGAGCUGAGAAGCACAGUGGAGGAAGUGUUCCGACCCGGGAGCAGGAAGUCAGUACCUGGCUUUGAUCCGAUGGGGGUUGUGAUGCUGGAGGAAUCCAGAAGCAGUGGGGUCUGGCUCGUCUACUCAAUGGGCCGAUCUCAAUAAUGCAGAGACUGUCCUGAAUACAAAUACAAAUCGUGCCCCUUAACACACUCUCCCUUUUCUGGGAAAGUUUGAAAGCACAUUAGAAUGAGUUUGGUUCCUACCUCUAUCAGGGAGCCCACCCGAAACCAUCUAAUUUGGAAUGUUUGGAUCCAGAUCUUUACUUUAUGGCACUACAGUAAUUGAUUCUUAUUAAGUGGAGAAAACGUAUAUCGCUCACCUCGUUCCCCAUGGUAACAGCUUUAAUAUCUCCCUUUACUCGCUCCUCUCAUCACUAGGAUUGUCCUCCAUGGGCUCCAUUUUUAGAGUUUCAUAAAUAGCUGGUUCUUCGCCAUAAUUCAAAUCUUGAUUUAAAAGAAGAAAAGAAAUAAAAAAAAGCAAGUAUCAAGUGGACUUACGUUAAUGGACUAAAUCUUGAUUUGUUGGCAUUCCAUUGGUUCUGAUAUGGUUUAAAACUAAGACUGAACAACUGGGAGUCAGGACACACCGGUUUCAUUGCUCAGCUUGCUGGUGAAUCCUCUGUAAUCCUGGGCAAAUCACAACUGCUCUGCACCUCUCUUCUGCAAAAUGGGAAAAAUAAUCUUUUAUCUACUUGACAGAAAUGAUGAGCCAGAACAUUCAUAAAAUGCUUUGAGAUCUCAGGAUGAAGGGUGCUGGAGAAAUGCAAGUACAGGUAGCUCCUCCCUUA